Myotis brandtii (Brandt's bat) is the source of this 628-nucleotide long non-coding RNA. RefSeq lists it as uncharacterized. Lineage: Eukaryota; Metazoa; Chordata; Mammalia; Chiroptera; Vespertilionidae. The transcript has 2 exons. The record is from RefSeq and is a predicted model, not a curated record.
GUAGCUGUGCCCUGUGCUGGGAUAACCCCACAUACAGAUGGCAGGUGGGCAUUGGUGAGGCAGCAUCUGCCAACCAGGAACUGAACAGAGCAGUUUGUCUUUGAGAAGCGGUUGAGUAAGUUAGCUUGGCUGGUUACAGUAUAACACUGGCCCAAGGUCAUGGUUCCAAACUCCAUUUAGGACAGAUAGCUUCGCUUUAUAAUACAGCCCUAAACACAGGCCUGGUAUCGGCCAGCCUCCUGGACAUGAGGAGGCCUGUGCACCAGGGAAGAGAGUGGAAGGACAGGAAUCCAGGGCAAGGGGCAACUGAGUCCAGUGGUGGGUCCACAGUGCCACUUUCAACAGCUCCAGUGCACCUGAUAUUGAAAAUAACAUCUCCACUGGAUUCCUAAUUCACCGAACGAAGCUGCUGCCUGAGACUGAGCAUUGCUGGCCUUUCUUAGCAACUGAGACAAAUUUUGAUCCUUAAAUAAAUUCCAGGCAAGAGCAUGUUUGACUUAUGCACAGGAAAGCAGAGAAUUCUCCUGUAAGCUGCAAAACAAUAGUGUUUUAUCUUAUCUGAGGAACUUAUUGCCGCUUGCCUGUGUGUGUUUUACUGCCAAAAUAAAAUAAAUUGAAUCAGCUCACA